UAUACUGCCCGCGCUUUGAGUGCCUAACAAGCGUUUGUUUUAGUUAAAAAACAAAUGGGAAGCUGGUGAAAAUCCAGCACUGCCCCCGCAACAGUAUGUGUUUAAUGUUCAAUAUGCCACCACUGCAACAUGUUGGUGGCAACCACUGCUUAAGGUUUAAGUGGGAAGGUUAUUGAAGAUAGGUCAGCACCGACCCAACACAAGUCUGGAUACCGACUCAAGGCUUUUUAUAACC
This 235-nucleotide non-coding RNA is filed under the name Alkanindiges sp. Lineage: Bacteria; Pseudomonadati; Pseudomonadota; Gammaproteobacteria; Moraxellales; Moraxellaceae. The record is from RNAcentral.